This 215-nucleotide unclassified non-coding RNA is filed under the name Hevea brasiliensis (rubber tree). The record is from RNAcentral. Lineage: Eukaryota; Viridiplantae; Streptophyta; Magnoliopsida; Malpighiales; Euphorbiaceae.
GGAUCGCUAUCCUCAAAAUAGUUGAAAUGACAGAGCGUACCACCAGCCUCAUCAGCAAAAGAAAUCUUCCUUCCCUCUCUGUGGACUGAGUUCUUGGAAUCAGUCGAACCAUUUUGAGUCAAUUUCAUGAUUUUACAGAAUCUGGUGCAGUCCCUUGUCAUCAUGGACAACCACUUUCGUGUUGUCUCUUCAACUUUCGUAGCACCUUUUAUGGC